Molecule: long non-coding RNA, 497 nt
Filed under: Danio rerio (zebrafish)
Lineage: Eukaryota; Metazoa; Chordata; Actinopteri; Cypriniformes; Danionidae
Description: lncRNA (ENSDARG00000117220.1)
Source: RNAcentral
CAUUCAUGAUGUGGUCUGACACUCUCAGCAGCGAGUGGACCCACAUGCACUUCAUUUGGACCUGGAGAAUGAAGCGGGAUCCCAGAAAGCACUUUUUCUCAUCAGAAAUCUCUAUCUGUAUGUGUAAUUUCAGAUACUUUCUGCUUUAUUUUUUUCCAGAGUCACGAGAACUGAGUUUGUUUCAGUGGCCGAGCCUGCAAGGAGAAGGCAAAAACCUGGACACCUUCACAGGUUUUGUGAGAUUCACCCACCACAUAUAUCACCUUCUGCUUGCGUUAUCAUGUAAGUUAAUAUUAUACUUGUAAUACAUUUUAUUUAUACUCUGUAAAAUUAGUUGGGUUAAAAUAACUCAACAUAUAAUCCAAUUAUAGGUUAUUAUAGCACCUACCCAACUAUGGGUUAUUUAACCCAAUGCAUUGGGUUAUAUAAUUUAACUUAAUGCAUUGGGUUAUUUUGAUUAAAUGUAAUUUUUUAAAUUACAUGUUAUUUAAAUGUUA